CGGCUCUGCAGGUCCUGAAGCUCCGGUCGUCUUCAACGUCGUCGUGGAGAUCACCAAGGAGAGCAAGGUGAAGUACGAGCUGGACAAGAAGACGGGGCUCAUCAAGGUGGACCGGAUCCUCUACUCGUGCGGUCGUGCCUCACCCAGUCACCUCUACUCGUGACAGGUAAGUAUAGCAGUAUAGAUUAGUAUGGAUUAGUUCUCAUGCUAGUAGUUCUUAGGGUCCCUUUAACGUUUUGCAUUUUUCAGAAUAUUAGGGUGAAGUGAAAUGUCGACUCCAAGUACUAGUAGUUCUCAUGCUCCUACAACCGGAGCAGCUAUUGGAUCUCAAGUGGAAACAGAAGCAGCAGCGGGUCCUCGAACCCGUGCACGUGCAGCAGCAGCAGCGCCUCCAUCUGAUUUAGCAACUGCAGCAGGUGAUGUGUUAGAAUUAGAUGAUGAUGUUGCUGUUGGUAGUAAGAGGAAACCAGGACCAAAAUUAAAAUCUAAAGUUUGGUUAGAGUUUGAUAGAAUUGAGUUAAAUGGGGUUUGGAAAGCAAAAUGCAAAUGGUGUAAGAAGCAUCUAGGAGGGGACACAAGAAAUGGUACAAGUCACUUGAGUGGCCAUCUUGAGAUUUGUCCAGAUAGGGCUGUUAGAAAAGGUAUAAAAUAGUCGUCUCUUAAAUUGACUGCAAAUCCACAUGAUGGGACUGUGAUUUUGGAGAAAUAUGUUUUUGAUCAAGAAAUAGCUAGAAAAGAGCUUGCAUUAAUGACUAUUAUCCAUGAGUACCCUUUGUCUAUGGUGGACCAUGUUGGAUUUCGCAAGUUUUGUGCAGCAUUGCAACCAUUAUUCAAAGUAGUGUCUAGGAAUACACUUAGGAAGGAUAUCCUUGAUAUGUAUGAAGUGCAAAAACAAUCCAUGUUGAAGUAUUUUCGGAAGUUGAGUUCUCGAGUUGCUAUUACUUCUGAUUUAUGGACAGCAAACCACCAAAAGAAAGGCUACAUGGCCGUGACAGCACACUUUAUAGAUGAUGAUUGGAAGCUAAAGAGUUUUCUUAUUAGGUUCCUAUAUGUUCCAGCUCCACAUACAGCUGAGGUUAUUGCUGAUCUUCUUCAUGAUGUUCUCCUUGACUGGCAUAUCGAGAGGAAUUUGUCUACUAUAACUCUUGAUAAUUGUAGCACAAAUGAUAGUGUUAUGAGAAAUAUGGUUGGGACCUCCAAUGAGAACCUCAGACAAAUGAUGGAUGCUUGCACCGUAGUAAGCUUGCACCGUCAAUGGUGGAAGCACUCAUGUGUAUGCAGGCUUGGUCCCGUGCUGACAUGUUAGGGUCUCCAACUAUGAUGGGUGUUUUGAUGACUUGUCUUGAUGAACAAGAUGAAGAGAUGGAUGAACAUGAAUCAACAAUUGUUGAUUAACCAUUUGAGAUGAACCUGCUUGCUGGCUGCUGCUACAAACUGCUUGCUGUCUGUUGGGUGCUGCUAGCCUGCUACAAACUGUUUGCUAAUUGCUAUAGACUAUCAUGUACUCAUGUUGUAAGAGACAUAUAUGUAUGUUGUAUGAAGUAUGCAAAUGACUAAAUGUAAUAUGUAUGCUGCUACAAACUGUUUGAUGCUACAAACUGUUUGCUAUUGACUAUCAUGUUGGCCUUGUUUACUUGCUAUUGACUAAAUGUAAUAUGUAUGAUGUAGCCUUUCA
Molecule: long non-coding RNA, 1675 nt
Organism: Zea mays
Lineage: Eukaryota; Viridiplantae; Streptophyta; Magnoliopsida; Poales; Poaceae
Exons: 5
Source: RefSeq, a predicted model, not a curated record